CAAUUUCUGCCUUCCAAAUUAAAGUCUUCAGCAUUAUACUGAACAACUAAUUCUAGAUUUAGGCAACAGAAGUCCAAGGUUUUAGUCUCUCUGACCUUUGCUUUUGGUAAGACAGGAUGUCACCCUUAAAAUAUCAGUUCUGGCUUGGAGGAAUUAUUACUAGUGAUUUUCUUUUUUUUUAAGUGUGAGGUUUAUGGGAGGGGGGUCUUUGUUUGUUUGUUAGUUAAUUGGUUUGUCUGUUUUUUAAAUAGCAGCAUUGCUUGGACAAGAACUUUAAACAAGCAUAUGCAAAGCAUCAUGCCAGUAGACAUACCGUUCACAAGAUUCUUCAGCAAAUUUUCCUUGGGAUAACAGCAAUAAUCGUGACCUACAGAAAUGCCAGGAGAGGUCAGUAAUGUAAACUGAUCAACUGCUGAGAAACAUGAUGUGGACGUGAAGGCUUUCAUCAAGCUCAUCAGUUCAGAAUGGCCUCAGAUACUUCCCUCCCUGCCAAUACAGCAGCAUCCUGGAAAAGGACCAAGUUUUUUCAAAAGGACAAAUGAUCAACAUUCCAGAUGCUGCUGCUGCAAACACCUUCCUGGCUUGUGAUCUGACAAAUAAUCUUUCAAAAUCUGUGAUUUUUGCACAUCUUUUUCUCCAAGGAGAUGGCAUAAAGGGUGUUCAGGACACUAUACCACGCAAUGAAGCGCUAAGAUACUUUGUGACAGUAUCUUGCCAAGAUACUUGGAAUAAA
Cuculus canorus (common cuckoo) is the source of this 733-nucleotide long non-coding RNA. RefSeq lists it as uncharacterized. The transcript has 4 exons. The record is from RefSeq and is a predicted model, not a curated record. Lineage: Eukaryota; Metazoa; Chordata; Aves; Cuculiformes; Cuculidae.